RNAcentral lists this ribosomal RNA (516 nucleotides) under uncultured bacterium. RNAcentral describes it as "partial 16S ribosomal RNA". The record is from RNAcentral.
GGAGUUAGCCGGUGCUUCUUCUGCGAGUAACGUCACAGAUGUAAGGUAUUAACUUACACCCUUUCCUCCUCGCUGAAAGUGCUUUACAACCCGAAGGCCUUCUUCACACACGCGGCAUGGCUGCAUCAGGGUUUCCCCCAUUGUGCAAUAUUCCCCACUGCUGCCUCCCGUAGGAGUCUGGGCCGUGUCUCAGUCCCAGUGUGGCUGAUCAUCCUCUCAGACCAGCUAGGGAUCGUCGCCUAGGUGAGCCUUUACCUCACCUACUAGCUAAUCCCACCUGGGCUUAUCCAUCAGCGCAAGGCCCGAAGGUCCCCUGCUUUCCCCCGUAGGGCGUAUGCGGUAUUAGCAGUCGUUUCCAACUGUUAUCCCCCACAAAUGGGCAAAUUCCCAGGCAUUACUCACCCGUCCGCCGCUCGUCAUCUUCAAAAGCAAGCUUUUGAAAUGUUACCGCUCGACUUGCAUGUGUUAGGCCUGCCGCCACGCGUUCAAUCUGAGCCACUAAUACAAACUACUCGA